UUGAGUCGACCCAAGGAAAGCAUGAGUCGACCCAAACAUCAAGCUUCUCAAUAACUCAGAAAUUAGUUCUCUGGAAAUACUGAGAGGGUCGACCCAAGAUAAAGUUGAGUCGACCCAAGCUUGAGUCGACCCAAGUGAAGGAAGGCUAAAUUGCAAGUUUCUGUGUUUCUGAGAGGGUCGACCCAAGGAAUGUUUGAGUC
Molecule: long non-coding RNA, 200 nt
Filed under: Phoenix dactylifera (date palm)
Lineage: Eukaryota; Viridiplantae; Streptophyta; Magnoliopsida; Arecales; Arecaceae
Description: long non-coding RNA (PDAC_LNC009956)
Source: RNAcentral